GACAUUUGGAGAGAAAGUGAAAGUGUCGGUUGUUGUGAGGCAGGGGACAGAAGCUGGGACAAUUCCCCCCCAGACGCUUCCCCAAACCUGGCAGCUGGAAACACCAGUCCCAGGAAGAAAGAGCACUUGGGGAUGGAGGGACACGGCCCCUUCGUUGGGACCCUGCGUCCAGCUGAGACAGACCAUUCCUCACGCACACCCAGCAGGCGGCUCCAGGAACUGGAAUUACAGGUCCCGAGCUAAGGAAUUGCACCCGAGCGUGAGCUGGGCUGCGAGGUCCAGGAACCGGG
RNAcentral lists this long non-coding RNA (290 nucleotides) under Chrysemys picta bellii (western painted turtle). RNAcentral describes it as "lncRNA (ENSCPBG00000009711.1)". The record is from RNAcentral. Lineage: Eukaryota; Metazoa; Chordata; Testudines; Emydidae.